UGACAGCAUCUAAGUGGGAAACCGGCCACAAGAUAAGUCCUCCAGACACGCAAGUGUGAGAGGCGCCUGGAAGAUCACCAGGCAGGCGACUGGGGGUGGAGGCCCGGCGACGGGUAGAGCCCACCAGAGCGCACAGCCAAGCG
RNAcentral lists this ribosomal RNA (143 nucleotides) under Herpetosiphonaceae bacterium. RNAcentral describes it as "partial 23S ribosomal RNA". It matches the Rfam family "Bacterial large subunit ribosomal RNA", at positions 2772 to 2912 of the family's 2925-position model. Lineage: Bacteria; Bacillati; Chloroflexota; Chloroflexia; Herpetosiphonales; Herpetosiphonaceae. The record is from RNAcentral.